CUGGGCGUAAGCGUGCGUAGGUGGUUAGAUUAGUUGGGUGUGAAAGCCCCGGGCUCAACCUGGGAACUGCAUUCAAUACUGUCUAGCUAGAGUAUGGUAGAGGGAAGUGGAAUUCUGCAUGUAGCGGUGAAAUGCGUAGAGAUGCAGAGGAACACCAGUGGCGAAGGCGACUUCCUGGACCAAUACUGACGCUGAGGUACGAAAGCGUGGGGAGCAAACAGGAUUAGAUACCCUGGUAGUCCACGCCGUAAACGAUGACAACUAGCUGUUGGGAUUGUAGUGAUCUUAGUAGCGAAGCUAACGCGUUAAGUUGUCCGCCUGGGGAGUACGGCCGCAAGGUUAAAACUCAAAGAAAUUGACG
This 361-nucleotide ribosomal RNA is filed under the name uncultured Gammaproteobacteria bacterium. RNAcentral's name for it is "bacterial SSU rRNA". It matches the Rfam family "Bacterial small subunit ribosomal RNA", at positions 554 to 915 of the family's 1533-position model. The record is from RNAcentral. Lineage: Bacteria; Pseudomonadati; Pseudomonadota; Gammaproteobacteria.